GACGAACGCUGGCGGCGUGCUUAACACAUGCAAGUCGAACGGAAAGGCUCCAGCUUGCUGGAGUACUCGAGUGGCGAACGGGUGAGUAACACGUGGGUAAUCUGCCCUGCACUCUGGGAUAAGCCUGGGAAACUGGGUCUAAUACUGGAUAUGACCUUUCUCCUUAUGGGGUUUGGUGGAAAGUUUUUCGGUGUAGGAUGAGCCCGCGGCCUAUCAGCUUGUUGGUGGGGUGAUGGCCUACCAAGGCGACGACGGGUAGCCGGCCUGAGAGGGUGAUCGGGCACAUUGGGACUGAGAUACGGCCCAGACUCCGACGGGAGGCAGCAGUGGGGAAUAUUGCACAAUGGGCGGAAGCCUGAUGCAGCGACGCCGCGUGAGGGAUGACGGCCUUCGGGUUGUAAACCUCUUUCAGCAGGGACGAAGCGUAAGUGACGGUACCUGCAGAAGAAGCACCGGCUAACUACGUGCCAGCCGCCGCAGUAA
RNAcentral lists this ribosomal RNA (483 nucleotides) under uncultured bacterium. RNAcentral describes it as "partial 16S ribosomal RNA". It matches the Rfam family "Bacterial small subunit ribosomal RNA", at positions 28 to 523 of the family's 1533-position model. The record is from RNAcentral.